AAUGAACGUUGGCGGCGUGGAUUAGGCAUGCAAGUCGCGCGACAAGCUCCCUUCGGGGAGUGGAGGAGCGGCAAACGGGGUAGUAAGGCGUCGGAACAUACCCUCCAGUCUGGAAUAGCUGCGGGAAACUGCAGGUAAUGCCGGAUAAUCUCUAGCGAGCAAAGGUCCGCCGCUGGAGGAGUGGCCGACGUGGUACCAGGUAGUUGGUGAGGUAAAAGCUCACCAAGCCGAAAACGCCUAGGGGGUGUGAGAGCACGACCCCCACCACUGGGACUGAGACACUGCCCAGACACCUACGGGUGGCUGCAGUCGAGAAUCUUCGGCAAUGGGCGCAAGCCUGACCGAGCGACGCCGCGUGCGGGAUGAAGGCCCUUGGGUUGUAAACCGCUGUCAGAGGGGAGGAAGGCGAAAGCUUGACCGAACCUCAGAGGAAGCACGGGCUAAGUUCGUGCCAGCAGCCGCGGUAAUACGAACUGUGCGAACGUUAUUCGGAAUCACUGGGCUUACGA
Molecule: ribosomal RNA, 509 nt
Filed under: uncultured bacterium
Lineage: Bacteria
Description: bacterial SSU rRNA
Rfam family: Bacterial small subunit ribosomal RNA
Source: RNAcentral